RNAcentral lists this ribosomal RNA (380 nucleotides) under uncultured eukaryote. RNAcentral's name for it is "partial 18S ribosomal RNA". It matches the Rfam family "Eukaryotic small subunit ribosomal RNA", at positions 592 to 976 of the family's 1831-position model. The record is from RNAcentral.
CAAUAGCGUAUAUUAAAGUUGUUGCGGUUAAAAAACUCGUAGUUGGAUUUCUGCUGAAAACGACCGGUCCGCCCUUUGGGUGUGUAUCUGGCUCUUUCUUGGCAUCUUCUUGGUGAACGUUGCUGCACUUGACUGUGUGGAGCGCUACCCAGGACUUUUACUUUGAGGAAAUUAGAGUGUUUCAAGCAGGCAUACGCCUUGAAUACAUUAGCAUGGAAUAAUAAGAUAGGACCUCGGUUCUAUUUUGUUGGUUUCUAGAGCUGAGGUAAUGAUUAAUAGGGAUAGUUGGGGGCAUUCGUAUUUAACUGUCAGAGGUGAAAUUCUUGGAUCUGCUAAAGACGGACAACUGCGAAAGCGUUUGCCCAGGAUGUUUUCAUUGA